RNAcentral lists this ribosomal RNA (40 nucleotides) under uncultured Glomeromycotina. RNAcentral's name for it is "partial 5.8S ribosomal RNA". The record is from RNAcentral. Lineage: Eukaryota; Fungi; Glomeromycota.
CAAACUUGGUCAUUUAGAGGAGGUAAAAGUCGUAACAAGG